This 398-nucleotide ribosomal RNA is filed under the name uncultured bacterium. RNAcentral's name for it is "partial 16S ribosomal RNA". It matches the Rfam family "Bacterial small subunit ribosomal RNA", at positions 338 to 734 of the family's 1533-position model. The record is from RNAcentral.
CCUACGGGAGGCAGCAGUGAGGAAUAUUGGUCAAUGGUCGCGAGACUGAACCAGCCAAUUAGCGUGAGGGAUGACUGCACUACGUGUUGUAAACCUCUUUUAUAAGGGAAUAAAGAGAGGCACGCGUGCCUUGUUGUAUGUACUUUAUGAAUAAGGAUCGGCUAACUCCAUGCCAGCAGCCGCGGUAAUACGGAGGAUCCGAGCGUUAUCCGGAUUUAUUGGGUUUAAAGGGCGCGUAGAUGGGUUGUUAAGUCAGUGGUGAAAGUUUGCGGCUCAACCGGAAGAUUGCAAUUGAUACUGGCAGUCUUGAGUACAGUAGAGGUAGGCGGAAUUCGUGGUGUAGCGGUGAAAUGCUUAGAUAUCACGAAGAACUCCGAUUGCGAAGGCAGCUUACUAAC